Molecule: ribosomal RNA, 329 nt
Filed under: uncultured eukaryote
Lineage: Eukaryota
Description: partial 18S ribosomal RNA
Rfam family: Eukaryotic small subunit ribosomal RNA
Source: RNAcentral
CCCUUAGAUGUCCUGGGCCGCACGCGCGCUACACUGAGUGUCUGAGAUACGAGUCUGCCUGGUCCGGCAAGGUCUAGGUAAUCGCUAAAAGACACAUCAUGCUUGGGAUAGAUUAUUGCAAAUAUUAAUCUUGAACGAGGAAUUCCUAGUAAGCGCAAGUCAACAGCUUGCGUUGAUUACGUUCCUGCCCUUUGUACACACCGCCCGUCGCUACUACUGAUUGGAUGUUUAAGCGAGGUUCUCGAACUGCUAGCGACUUAGCUUCGGUGAGGUCGCAGUGUGGGAAGUGAACCUAGCUUUGGUGUCUAGAGGAAGUAAAAGUCGUAACA